Molecule: ribosomal RNA, 439 nt
Filed under: uncultured bacterium
Lineage: Bacteria
Description: partial 16S ribosomal RNA
Rfam family: Bacterial small subunit ribosomal RNA
Source: RNAcentral
CUACGGGUCGCUGCAGUGGGGGAUAUUGCACAAUGGAGGAAACUCUGAUGCAGCAACGCCGCGUGGAGGAUGACACUUUUCGGAGCGUAAACUCCUUUUAUAUAGGAAGAAGAUGACGGUACUAUAUGAAUAAGCGCCGGCUAACUCCGUGCCAGCAGCCGCGGUAAUACGGAGGGCGCAAGCGUUACUCGGAAUCACUGGGCGUAAAGAGCGUGUAGGCGGAUUAAAAAGUCAGAAGUGAAAUCCUAUAGCUUAACUAUAGAACUGCUUCUGAAACUCUUAAUCUAGAAUAUGGGAGAGGUAGAUGGAAUUUCUGGUGUAGGGGUAAAAUCCGUAGAGAUCAGAAGGAAUACCGAUUGCGAAGGCGAUCUACUAGAACAUUAUUGACGCUGAGACGCGAAAGCGUGGGGAGCAAACAGGAUUAGAUACCCUAGUAGUU